This 292-nucleotide ribosomal RNA is filed under the name uncultured bacterium. RNAcentral's name for it is "partial 16S ribosomal RNA". It matches the Rfam family "Archaeal small subunit ribosomal RNA", at positions 455 to 746 of the family's 1478-position model. The record is from RNAcentral.
GUGCCAGCCGCCGCGGUAACACCGGCAGCCCAAGUGAUGGCCGAUAUUAUUGGGCCUAAAGCGUCCGUAGCUGGCCGCACAAGUCCGUCGGGAAAUCCACCCGCCCAACGGGUGGGCGUCCGGUAGAAACUGGCCGGCUUGGAACCGGAAGGCUCAGAGAGUACGUCCGGGGUAGGAGUGAAAUCCCGUAAUCCCGGACGGACUACCGAUGGCGAAAGCACUCUGAGAAGACGGCUUCGACAGUGAGGGACGAAAGCGCGGGUCUCAAACCGGAUUAGAAACCCGAGUAGCC